UGAGGAAUAUUGGUCAAUGGGCGAGAGCCUGAACCAGCCAAGUCGCGUGAGGGAAGACGGUCCUACGGAUUGUAAACCUCUUUUGUCGGGGAGCAAUAAAGCGUACGCGUACGCAGAUGCGAGUACCCGAAGAAAAAGCAUCGGCUAACUCCGUG
RNAcentral lists this ribosomal RNA (155 nucleotides) under uncultured bacterium. RNAcentral's name for it is "partial 16S ribosomal RNA". It matches the Rfam family "Bacterial small subunit ribosomal RNA", at positions 355 to 507 of the family's 1533-position model. The record is from RNAcentral.